AUUUUGUUGGGAAUGUUCCCGAAUCUUUUGGACUACUUAAAAAUCUGACUUUUUUGGGCCUCCUUAUGAAUCAGUUAUCUGGCAUUAUCCCUUCCUCAAUCUUCAAUCUUUCUUCUAUCACACUUUUGGACAUAGCAAGCAAUCAAUUUGAAGGAAAUCUUCCCACAGAUUUAUUCAUCUCUCUUCCAAAACUUGAGACCUUAAAUAUUGCAGUUAACCAAUUUGAUGGUCCCAUUCCUUAUUCAGUAUCCAAUGCUUCAAAUCUACGCGAUCUUCAGUUGCAGGGAAACAAACUCACAGGGAAAGUUCCUUCUUUAGAAAGGCUCAAUGUUCUAGUGUUUUUUAUUGAUAACAAUCUUCUUGGAAAUGCAGAAUUUGAUGAUUUGGGAUUCCUCUGUUCUUUGACUAAUGCCAGCAUUUUGUGGCAGCUGGAUAUAAGCAGGAAUAAAUUUGGAGGGGAAAUACCUGAG
Molecule: unclassified non-coding RNA, 470 nt
Filed under: Hevea brasiliensis (rubber tree)
Lineage: Eukaryota; Viridiplantae; Streptophyta; Magnoliopsida; Malpighiales; Euphorbiaceae
Source: RNAcentral